AGCCUGAACGCUGGCGGCGUGGCUAAGACAUGCAAGUCGCACGGGGUAGCAAUACCCAGUGGCGAACGGGAGAGUAAUGAAUCGCUAAUGUACCCCGGACUCUGGGAUAGCUACCCGAAAGGGUAGGUAAUACCAGAUGACAUAACCCUGUCGCAUGACAGGGUUCUCAAAGGUCCGCCGGUCCGGGAGCAGGCGAUUUCGAUCAGCUAGUUGGUGGGGUAACGGCCCACCAAGGCGACGACGCGUAGCCGGACUGAGAGGUUGGCCGGCUCAUUGGGACUGAGACACUGCCCAGACUCCUACGGGGGGCUGCAGUAACGAAUCUUCCGCAAUGCACGAAAGUGUGACGGAGCGACGCCGCGUGUGGGACGAAGGCCCGUUCGGGUAGUAAACCCACGUGUCGAGGGGGUUUACCAAGGUUUCGUGACGGAACCCCAGGAGGAAGCGACGGCUAACUCGUGUGACCAGCAGCCGAC
Molecule: ribosomal RNA, 476 nt
Filed under: uncultured soil bacterium
Lineage: Bacteria
Description: bacterial SSU rRNA
Rfam family: Bacterial small subunit ribosomal RNA
Source: RNAcentral